RNAcentral lists this ribosomal RNA (465 nucleotides) under uncultured bacterium. Its description in RNAcentral is "partial 16S ribosomal RNA". It matches the Rfam family "Bacterial small subunit ribosomal RNA", at positions 28 to 507 of the family's 1533-position model. The record is from RNAcentral.
GAUGAACGCUGGCGGCGUGCUUAACACAUGCAAGUCGAACGGAAAGGCCCAAGCUUGCUUGGGUACUCGAGUGGCGAACGGGUGAGUAACACGUGGGUGAUCUGCCCUGCACUUCGGGAUAAGCCUGGGAAACUGGGUCUAAUACCGGAUAGGACCACAUUUUGGAUGGUGUGGUGGAAAGUUUUUCGGUGUGGGAUGAGCUCGCGGCCUAUCAGCUUGUUGGUGGGGUAAUGGCCUACCAAGGCGUCGACGGGUAGCCGGCCUGAGAGGGUGUACGGCCACAUUGGGACUGAGAUACGGCCCAGACUCCUACGGGAGGCAGCAGUGGGGAAUAUUGCACAAUGGGCGCAAGCCUGAUGCAGCGACGCCGCGUGGGGGAUGACGGCCUUCGGGUUGUAAACUCCUUUCGCUAGGGACGAAGCGCAAGUGACGGUACCUGGAGAAGAAGCACCGGCUAACCACGUG